RNAcentral lists this ribosomal RNA (253 nucleotides) under uncultured bacterium. Its description in RNAcentral is "partial 16S ribosomal RNA". It matches the Rfam family "Bacterial small subunit ribosomal RNA", at positions 524 to 776 of the family's 1533-position model. The record is from RNAcentral.
UACGUAGGGGGCAAGCGUUAUCCGGAUUCACUGGGCGUAAAGGGAGCGCAGGCGGCAUGGCAAGUCUGAUGUGGAAACCCGGGGCCCAACCCCGGGAGUGCAUUGGAAACUGCCAGGCUGGAGUGUCGGAGGGGUAAGCGGAAUUCCUAGUGUAGCGGUGAAAUGCGUAGAUAUUAGGAGGAACACCAGUGGCGAAGGCGGCUUACUGGACGACUACUGACGCUGAGGCUCGAAAGCGUGGGGAGCAAACAGG